This 459-nucleotide ribosomal RNA is filed under the name uncultured bacterium. RNAcentral's name for it is "partial 16S ribosomal RNA". It matches the Rfam family "Bacterial small subunit ribosomal RNA", at positions 339 to 795 of the family's 1533-position model. The record is from RNAcentral.
CUACGGGACGCACCAGUAAGGAAUAUUGCGCAAUGGAGGCAACUCUGACGCAGCCAUGCCGCGUGCAGGAAGAAGGCCUUAUGGGUCGUAAACUGCUUUUAUUUAGGAAUAAACCCCCGAACGUGUUCGGGGCUGAAGGUACUAAACGAAUAAGCACCGGCUAACUCCGUGCCAGCAGCCGCGGUAAUACGGAGGGUGCAAGCGUUAUCCGGAUUUAUUGGGUUUAAAGGGUGCGCAGGCGGGCUAUUAAGUCAGUGGUGAAAUCCCGGGGCUCAACUCCGGAACUGCCAUUGAUACUGAUAGUCUUGAGUUUGGUUGAAGUGGGCGGAAUGUAGCAUGUAGCGGUGAAAUGCAUAGAUAUGCUACAGAACACCAAUCGCGAAGGCAGCUCACUAAGUCAAAACUGACGCUCAUGCACGAAAGCGUGGGGAUCAAACAGGAUUAGAUACCCCGGUAGUC